UACGUAGGGUGCGAGCGUUGUCCGGAAUUAUUGGGCGUAAAGGGCUCGUAGGCGGUCUGUCACGUCGGGUGUGAAAACUCAGGGCUUAACCCUGAGCCUGCUUCCGAUACGGGCAGACUAGAGGUAUGCAGGGGAGAACGGAAUUCCUGGUGUAGCGGUGAAAUGCGCAGAUAUCAGGAGGAACACCGGUGGCGAAGGCGGUUCUCUGGGCAUUACCUGACGCUGAGGGGCGAAAGCGUGGGGAGCGAACAGG
Molecule: ribosomal RNA, 253 nt
Filed under: uncultured bacterium
Lineage: Bacteria
Description: partial 16S ribosomal RNA
Rfam family: Bacterial small subunit ribosomal RNA
Source: RNAcentral